GGGGGGGGAAAAAAAGAGUGCGAGAGAAGGGAAAAACCCCCACAAGUUAAUUUAACAGAGCAGUCGCCAGUCAGCUCCUCAGGCAUAAACAGGCAGCCGAGGCGCUGCGCGUGGGCUGACUUCAACGCUGGAUGCCGAGCAGCGCUUGGCACAGGUAAGCGGGACUUUCAUCGCAGACCCAAAUUAACACCGGUAAUUCCUUGCCGUCCGAAUUGCGGCCGAAGGAACAACCCCGGGCGGGGCUCAGAGGCCGGGCCGCCGCCCCCACCCCCGGCCGCGCCUCGGCCGAACAAAGGCGGCGGUGGCGGCGGGGCCGCUCCGUGCGGUGCGAGCACGGCGAGGGUCCAGCCCACACAGAGCCGAGCCCGGCAGCGCUGGAAGCGCCCCGCACCCCGGCCCCACGCUCGGCCCGGCCCCACUCCGCGGCGUGUCGGGAGGAAGCGCCGGCCGCCGGCCCCUCGGCUCGCCCGCCCCCCGUCUCCUCCCCUUCGCAGCCGAUCCUCCGCCCCCUCCUCCUCCUCCCGCUGGCGGCGGCGGCGGCUUUCUCGGCCCCGGCUCCCCCCGCUUUUCCCCGCGGCUUCGCCUCGCUCCUCAGCGGGAGGCUCCGCGUCGUGCCGGCGAAGACGGCAGUGCUGCAAGGAGCCUCUGGGAGUUCCAGGGAGAAGAGACCUGUCCCCUUUUGGAGAUCUUUGCUACUGGUGACGACCUUCAAACAAGUCAAGCAGACAAAGCAGGAGCUCAGAAGUUUUACAUCAAGCUCUGCAGAUCUGCUUCCACAGGCUUUACAAGCUGAUGAGGUGAGUAAAGAGGCACUGCAAGCUAGAAGGCAUGCUUUGUUUUCUAUAGUUCUGUCUCCUGAUAC
RNAcentral lists this long non-coding RNA (862 nucleotides) under Coturnix japonica (Japanese quail). Its description in RNAcentral is "lncRNA (ENSCJPG00005010420.1)". The record is from RNAcentral. Lineage: Eukaryota; Metazoa; Chordata; Aves; Galliformes; Phasianidae.